This 262-nucleotide ribosomal RNA is filed under the name uncultured prokaryote. RNAcentral's name for it is "partial 16S ribosomal RNA". It matches the Rfam family "Bacterial small subunit ribosomal RNA", at positions 524 to 784 of the family's 1533-position model. The record is from RNAcentral.
UACGUAGGGUGCGAGCGUUGUCCGGAAUUACUGGGCGUAAAGAGCUCGUAGGUGGUUUGUCACGUCGUCUGUUAAAUUCCGGGGCUUAACCUCGGGCGUGCAGGCGAUACGGGCAAUACUUGAGUGCUGUAGGGGAGACUGGAAUUCCUGGUGUAGCGGUGAAAUGCGCAGAUAUCAGGAGGAACACCGAUGGCGAAGGCAGGUCUCUGGGCAGUAACUGACGCUGAGGAGCGAAAGCAUGGGUAGCGAACAGGAUUAGAUA